GACAACAUAAACAGAGCACAAACACACACACAUCAUGCGCCCUGGUGACCAGACAUCUCCUUCAUAAAACGAGUAAUAGGGGGAAUAAUCGGGCAGUUCGAU
Long non-coding RNA from Notothenia coriiceps (black rockcod), 102 nucleotides. RefSeq lists it as uncharacterized. The transcript is spliced from 3 exons. The record is from RefSeq and is a predicted model, not a curated record. NCBI's taxonomy places the organism in Eukaryota, Metazoa, Chordata, Actinopteri, Perciformes, Nototheniidae.